UACAGAGGGUGCGAGCGUUGUCCGGAAUCACUGGGCGUAAAGGGCGCGUAGGUGGUGGCUUAAGCGUGCGGUGAAAGCUCGGGGCUCAACCCCGAGUCGGCCGUGCGAACUGGGCUCACUGGAGCAUAGUAGAGGCAGGUGGAAUUCCGGGUGUAGCGGUGGAAUGCGUAGAGAUCCGGAAGAACACCGGUGGCGAAGGCGGUCUGCUGGGCAGUUGCUGACACUGAGGCGCGACAGCGUGGGGAGCAAACAGG
This 254-nucleotide ribosomal RNA is filed under the name uncultured bacterium. RNAcentral's name for it is "partial 16S ribosomal RNA". It matches the Rfam family "Bacterial small subunit ribosomal RNA", at positions 524 to 776 of the family's 1533-position model. The record is from RNAcentral.